This 73-nucleotide transfer RNA is filed under the name Mus musculus (house mouse). RNAcentral describes it as "tRNA-Ser". The record is from RNAcentral. Lineage: Eukaryota; Metazoa; Chordata; Mammalia; Rodentia; Muridae.
GGAGAGAUGGCAUAGUGGUUAAGAGCACUGACUGCUCUUCCAGAGGACUUGGGUUCAAUUCCCAGCACCUGCA